GUGCUAUCACUUUGGCAGCACAUAUACUAAAAUUGGAAUGAUACAGAGAAGAUUAGCAUGACCCCUGUACAAGGCCACUCUAGGAAAAUAAAAUUCAU
Small nuclear RNA from Sorex araneus (European shrew), 98 nucleotides. The record is from Ensembl. NCBI's taxonomy places the organism in Eukaryota, Metazoa, Chordata, Mammalia, Eulipotyphla, Soricidae.